Molecule: ribosomal RNA, 427 nt
Filed under: Babesia vogeli
Lineage: Eukaryota; Apicomplexa; Aconoidasida; Piroplasmida; Babesiidae
Description: SSU rRNA
Rfam family: Eukaryotic small subunit ribosomal RNA
Source: RNAcentral
GGUGACCCAAACCCUCACCAGAGUAGCAAUUGGAGGGCAAGUCUGGUGCCAGCAGCCGCGGUAAUUCCAGCUCCAAUAGCGUAUAUUAAACUUGUUGCAGUUAAAAAGCUCGUAGUUGAAUUUUAGCGUGUUCGAGUUUGCCAUUCGUUUGGCUUUUUCGAGUUCGCUUUUGGGUUUUCCCUUUUUACUUUGAGAAAAUUAGAGUGUUUCAAGCAGACUUUUGUCUUGAAUACUUCAGCAUGGAAUAAUAGAGUAGGACUUUGGUUCUAUUUUGUUGGUUAUUGAACCUUAGUAAUGGUUAAUAGGAACGGUUGGGGGCAUUCGUAUUUAACUGUCAGAGGUGAAAUUCUUAGAUUUGUUAAAGACGAACUACUGCGAAAGCAUUUGCCAAGGACGUUUCCAUUAAUCAAGAACGAAAGUUAGGGGA